UACAGAGGGGGCAAGCGUUGUUCGGAAUUACUGGGCGUAAAGGGCGCGUAGGCGGCCUGCUAAGUCGAACGUGAAAUCCCUGGGCUCAACCCAGGAACUGCGUCCGAUACUGGUUGGCUUGAAUCCGGGAGAGGGACGUGGAAUUCCAGGUGUAGCGGUGAAAUGCGUAGAUAUCUGGAGGAACACCGGUGGCGAAGGCGACGUCCUGGGCCGGCAUUGACGCUGAGGCGCGAAAGCCAGGGGAGCAAACGGG
Molecule: ribosomal RNA, 253 nt
Filed under: uncultured bacterium
Lineage: Bacteria
Description: partial 16S ribosomal RNA
Rfam family: Bacterial small subunit ribosomal RNA
Source: RNAcentral